Long non-coding RNA from Cololabis saira (Pacific saury), 3326 nucleotides. RefSeq lists it as uncharacterized. The record is from RefSeq and is a predicted model, not a curated record. The transcript is spliced from 5 exons. Lineage: Eukaryota; Metazoa; Chordata; Actinopteri; Beloniformes; Belonidae.
CCGCCGAGCCUUUUCAGCAGCAGAACAGUUCGGCUCCUUUUAUUUGGAUUCUUACAGCUUUACUCACAUUUCACUUGACGCAAAAUGUGCCUUUUAUUUGGAUUCUUACAUCUUUACUCCCAUCUCACUUGACGCAAAAAAGAACUGUCAGGAUCAAAAGUUGAGGUGAUCAUCAUGAGACAUCCGUGGAGACGAGCCGAGGAGACGCCGGGCUCCAUCACAUGACAGGUGACGCGAGAAUCUGCAGUGAGGACCAGCAGCAGCAGACGGAGGAGGAGGAGGAUUUCCACCUCCCAAAGGACAUUUCAUUAGACAAUGAGGACACCUGAAGCCCCCACACCCGGCUCCUCCACCCGUCCCUGGACCACCUGAGCUGGUUAAAUGUUACAUGAAAGUUAUAGCUCUGAGGAAAAACAUGAAAAAGAUCCAGCUGUUUGUGCUGAAAGCAGCUGUGAUGAUGAAGAUGAGGAAGACCAGGAAGUGCAGGCAGCAGAGGCCAUCUUGGACGGCUCCUAUGAUCUCAUCUCUGCCAGUCUAAUCAAGGGAGCUGAGGCUGUGUGGCAGCUGGGAAAACUCCCCAAAGGAAACAAUGCAGCUCAAACAAUAACCACCAAUAAAGACUAAGACACAGGCAGAAGGUGUCAUCCGGUGUUUGUGAGUACUUUAAUCCCCAGAACCCCCCUCCUGGCCACCCAGGCCCGGCCAGGGCGUCCCCGCAGCUCUGGCUCCCCCUAGCCGCCUCUCCAAGCUUCCUCUAGUGCGCACCAGCAGCCCUGGCCCUCCCUGCUCUCUAACACACCAAAGACACCAAAAUAUACCUGCAAACCUACACUUUUCGGCGGAAACCCCGGGUAUAAAGUCCCCCUUUGCCUCCCAUGCACCAUUGGGCCCCAUUGGUGCCAAAACCAGGGAGGAUUUCUUACCUUUAGUCUGAGGCCUCUACCAGUUCCUCCCUGUUCAGGCUCCUAACGUCGCCAGCCUCCUUCUUCUUCCCAGCAAUCCCUGCAGAAAGGACACGUCCAUGUAGGUUGGCUAUGCAGGGGUGAUCAAAUUGGGUAAAACCAUUUCUGAAGACCCCAAUUAGCCCCCCAAAUCAAAAAAAGGCCAUUUGGGCCCCAAAUACACCUAAGCUCCAAUAUGGGUUUAAAAAAUGGCACAAAAGUGGCUUUAAAUAGCAAAACCCCCCACCCAUAAAUCAUAUUUCCCACCCCCUUAAAUUUCAACUUCUUGUGCUCCAUCCAAUAGUCACAGGCUUGUUUCUGACGCGCAGCCGCCGGUGAGAGCGCAGCUGAACCGGCAGCUGUCCGCCGUGCGUUUCCAAGCCCUGGAGCAUCUCUAGGAGGCUACAAACAAUCCAUUGGUGGCAUUUAUUGGUUAAAUAGAACCUUUUCUUUUGGAAUAAGUCAAAAAUAUCGCAGGGGGAAAUAUUCCACGCGAGGAAAAUAGCACUAUGCCUAAAGAGCGCGGCGUGUCCAAGUGGACCGCUCCACCAGGGCGCAGGUGGAACCAGAGCUCAGACAGCUCUCCAAAGGCUCCAGGGAGGAAAGAAAUAGAAGAUAAUCCAUCUUAAAAGGUAAAAAAAAUAUUAUUUGCUCUCAAUUCGACUGAUUAUGCAAAAAAAGUUUAAAAUAUACUCGAAAAAAUAUCAAAUGAAGUCCAAGAAAGAAGCGAGUAAGAUGAGAAAGAUGUUCCAGAUGGCGCAGUUGCACCCUGGAUGAUGUCGUUGAGGAAUUUCACGAAUUAAAGAGUAUUAUUUUCCUAAAUAUCCGUUUAUAAAUGACAGCAGAGCCGUAGGACAGAUUUUAACCUGAAAACACCAUAAUCCUCACCAGCAGUAAGAAGAAAAGCAGACGAAUAUCCGCGCUGUGGACGCGCGCAGCCAGCGCGCAAAAAAGACUCAGUCCGCCCCUUCAGAUGCGUUUGAAUGAGCAAAGAUUCAGUCCUACAACGCGACAAACAUCCCCAGCAGACGGUUUCCGUGAAGCCUGGUCCUGCCACGGCGGUUGGAGUUGUUUCCCCCCAAAACAAACCUUCAUGCAAAUGAAGGCGCAGCUUCAGCGCCAGUGCGGGAUCCCGCUCCGCCUCGAGUCCUGGUGUCCUGAUGAACACAGGACAGGCAUGAAGGAGCCCUCUGUCUGUUUGGUGUGACAACAAUAACCCCCCUUCAUCUGCCCAGAAUCCUCCGGGGGCAUCAGCAUCAUCAACCCCACCGGCUGAUGCAUAAAGCCUUUAUUCAGGACCAGAGCGCAGCAGCAGCGCGCCUGUCCUAUCAGCUGUAGCGGCUCACAUUUCACACAAAGGACAGAUAUGAUGCUGUAUUUAGGGAAACACUUGUGCAGCAGCUGCGCGUCUGUCGCGGACAGAAGGCGCAUGCAGCAUCCACAGCAGGGCGGCCUCAUGCUGGAAAAUGCGCCGUUUUCAUUUUAAUAUGCGGAGGGUGUUGAUGAACAGAAAUCCACAAAGGGUCUGGUGACUCGUCUAAUCGAUUUUCUACGCCCCCCGCACCAAUCGUUAUGAUUGAUUGAUUGAAGAAUGUAUUAGAAGAAUUGCAUAGGAUCAGGUACAGUUUCAUGACAGUACAGAUUCGCUGAUACAAAGUCAACUAAAAGGCAUUAUUCCAAGAAAGCAUUACACUUGUUUACAUUGGAGACUUUUUUUUAACUCAUAUAACAUUGAAUGACAUAAGAAGCAGUACUUUGUAGGGAAGAUUGUAAAAAAAAGAAAAGGGGGGAAUUACUGUUAUUUGCUCCGGGAGAGACUAAAAAGGUGAUGAGACAAAUAGAAUAAGCUAGGUAAUACAAAACAAAAGCAGAAAACAAAACAAAAAACAAAAACAAGAAGCAAUAGGUAAUCAGAAGGAACAGCGGGAUGUGCAAUAGAGGCUCUGAUUAUUCCCAGUUACGAGUACUCCUGUAGGUGGCUUUUUAGGCAUAGUCUGUUCAUGUGAGCAGCUUCUUUAUUUUAUUCUAACUGCGUCCGAAAUUCCAUCCAUCCACCCUAAUGAGUAGCAAAAACAGUAGGCUAUGUGAGAUUUUUUAGUGCGUCCGAAACAUACGCACUCAAUAUAUGCGCUAUCCAUACUCAUUCCGGAGAAAUUUAUUAGUAUGGAUUGAUGGCAUGGAUCUAUUAUAAGAUUGAUGGACAUUAGCUAAGUAGAAACUUCCCACAAUGCAAUGCACCGGUGUUGCUAAGUGCUGCGCAGAUACGUAGGCUAUAUGCAGUACUGGAGUUGAGGGGGAUGAGGGGAUGAGGGGGAUGGCAUCCCCCCCUGAAAUAAAAACGGUCCAAAUCAUCCCCCCUGUAAAACUGCCAUCCCCCCUUUCUAU